RNAcentral lists this ribosomal RNA (1235 nucleotides) under metagenome. RNAcentral's name for it is "bacterial LSU rRNA". It matches the Rfam family "Bacterial large subunit ribosomal RNA", at positions 1564 to 2808 of the family's 2925-position model. The record is from RNAcentral.
UGAAUACGAGAUGCUACGGCAUCGAAGCAGUCUAUGUCAUACUUCCAAGAAAAGCUUGCACUGUCAUAAACAAAUAAUGCCUGUACCAUAACCGACACAGGUGGGUAGGUAGAGUAUACUAAGGGGCGCGAGAUAACUCUCUCUAAGGAACUCGGCAAAAUGACUCCGUAACUUCGGGAGAAGGAGUGCCUUAUUUUAUAAGGUUGCAAUAACAAGAUCCAAGCAACUGUUUACCAAAAACACAGGUCUCCGCUAAGUCGUAAGACGAUGUAUGGGGGCUGACGCCUGCCCAGUGCCAGAAGGUUAAAGAAGUUGGUUAGCAUUAGCGAAGCUGAUAACUGAAGCCCUGGUGAACGGCGGCCGUAACAAUAACGGUCCUAAGGUAGCGAAAUUCCUUGUCGGGUAAGUUCCGACCCGCACGAAAGGCGUAAUGAUUUGGAUACUGUCUCGGAGAGGGGCUCGGUGAAAUAGACUUGUCUGUGAAGAUGCGGACUACCUGCACCAGGACAGAAAGACCCUAUGAAGCUUUACUGUAACUUGAGAUUGAAAUUGGACUUUAUUUGCGCAGUAUAGGUGGGAGACGUUGAAAAUAUUCUUGCGGGAAUAUUGGAGUCAUCAGUGAGAUACCACUCUUAUAAUGUUAGAUUUCUAACUUUGUAUCAUUAUCUGGUCAAAGAACAGUCUCAGGCGGGCAGUUUGACUGGGGCGGUCGCCUCCCAAACGGUAACGGAGGCGCACAAAGGUUUCCUCUGAACGUGUAGAAAUCGUAUCUAGAGUGUAAAGGCAUAAGGAAGCUUGACUGUGAGACCUACAAGUCGAGCAGGGACGAAAGUCGGUCUUAGUGAUCUGACGGUGCUGAGUGGAAAGGCCGUCACUCAACGGAUAAAAGUUACUCUAGGAUAACAGGCUGAUCUCCCCCAAGAGUUCACAUCGACGGGGAGGUUUGGCACCUCGAUGUCGGCUCAUCGCAUCCUGGGGCGGUAGUACGUCCCAAGGGUUGGGCUGUUCGCCCAUGAAAGCGGUACGCGAGCUGGGUUCAGAACGUCGUGAGACAGUUCGGUCCAUAUUCGGUGUAGGCGUUAGAAUAUUGAGAGGAGCCUUCUUUAGUACGAGAGGACCGAGAAGGACAUACCUCUGGUGUACCAGUUAUCGUGCCAACGGUAAACGCUGGGUAGCUAUGUAUGGAGAGGAUAACCGCUGAAAGCAUCUAAGUGGGAAGCCCACCUCAAGAUAAG